This 459-nucleotide ribosomal RNA is filed under the name uncultured bacterium. RNAcentral describes it as "partial 16S ribosomal RNA". It matches the Rfam family "Bacterial small subunit ribosomal RNA", at positions 338 to 795 of the family's 1533-position model. The record is from RNAcentral.
CCUACGGGAGGCAGCAGUGAGGAAUAUUGGUCAAUGGGCGGAAGCCUGAACCAGCCAAGUCGCGUGAAGGAAGAAGGUACUUAGUAUUGUAAACUUCUUUUUUCGGGGAACAAAGGCGGAGACGCGUCUCCGGAUGAGUGUACCCGAAGAAAAAGCAUCGGCUAACUCCGUGCCAGCAGCCGCGGUAAUACGGAGGAUGCGAGCGUUAUCCGGAUGUAUUGGGUUUAAGGGGUGCGCAGGCGGGAGAUAAAGUCAGCGGUAAAAUGUCGGGGCUCAACCCCGGCCGGCCGUUGAAACGGGUUUGCUAGAGUUGGCGAGAGGUAUGCGGAAUUCGUGGUGUAGCGGUGAAAUGCAUAGAGAUCACGAAGAACUCCGAUUGCGAAGGCAGCAUACCGGCUCAAUACUGACGCUGAGGCACGAAAGCGUGGGGAUCGAACAGGAUUAGAUACCCGUGUAGUC